ACUGGCUCAGGACGAACGCUGGCGGCACGCUUAACACAUGCAAGUCGAACGGAGCUAAGAAGGAGCUGCUCAUCUAGCUUAGUGGCGGACGGGUGAGUAACACGUGAGCAACCUGCCUUUAAGAGUGGAAUAGCUUCUGGAAACGGAUGGUAAUACCGCAUAACAUUACGGGACCGCAUGAUUCUGUAAUCAAAGAUUUAUCGCUUAAAAGAUGGGCUCGCGUCUGAUUAGAUAGUUGGUGGGGUAACGGCCUACCAAGUCGACGAUCAGUAGCCGGACUGAGAGGUUGAACGGCCACAUUGGGACUGAGACACGGCCCAGACUCCUACGGGAGGCAGCAGGUGGGGAAUAUUGCACAAUGGGCGGAAGCCCUGAUGCAGCGAUGCCGCGUGGAGGAAGUAAGGUUUUCGGAUUAGUAAACUUCCUUUUAUCGAGGGACGAUAAUGACGGUACCUGAAGAAAAGCUCCGGCUAACUACGUGCCAGCCGCGGC
RNAcentral lists this ribosomal RNA (492 nucleotides) under uncultured bacterium. RNAcentral's name for it is "bacterial SSU rRNA". It matches the Rfam family "Bacterial small subunit ribosomal RNA", at positions 18 to 518 of the family's 1533-position model. The record is from RNAcentral.